GUGCUUGCUUCAGCAGCACAUAUAUGAAAAUUGGAAUGAUACAGAAUCAAUUUGCAUGGCCCCGAUCAAGGAUGACACACAAAUUUGUAAAACAUUCCAUAUUUUU
Cebus imitator (Panamanian white-faced capuchin) is the source of this 106-nucleotide small nuclear RNA. NCBI's taxonomy places the organism in Eukaryota, Metazoa, Chordata, Mammalia, Primates, Cebidae. The record is from Ensembl.